CCUACGUGAGACUGCAGUGAGGAAUAUUGGUCAAUGGGCGGAAGCCUGAACCAGCCAAGUAGCGUGCAGGAUGACGGUCCUACGGGUUGUAAACUGCUUUUAUACGGGAAUAACGCGCCUUACGUGUAGGGCUUUGCAUGUACCGUAUGAAUAAGGACCGGCUAAUUCCGUGCCAGCAGCCGCGGUAAUACGGAAGGUCCGGGCGUUAUCCGGAUUUAUUGGGUUUAAGGGGAGCGUAGGCCGCAUGUCAAGCGUGCUGUGAAAUGUCCGGGCUCAACCCGGGCCUUGCAGCGCGAACUGGCGUGCUUGAGUCCGCGGAAAGCAGGCGGAAUUCGUCGUGUAGCGGUGAAAUGCUUAGAUAUGACGAAGAACCCCGAUUGCGAAGGCAGCUUAAUAAACUAUAACGGACACUGAAGCACGAAAGCGUGGGGAUCAAACAGGAUUAGAUACCCGGGUAGUC
Molecule: ribosomal RNA, 460 nt
Filed under: uncultured bacterium
Lineage: Bacteria
Description: partial 16S ribosomal RNA
Rfam family: Bacterial small subunit ribosomal RNA
Source: RNAcentral